Acanthosepion pharaonis is the source of this 112-nucleotide non-coding RNA. Lineage: Eukaryota; Metazoa; Mollusca; Cephalopoda; Sepiida; Sepiidae. The record is from the annotation of a GenBank genome assembly.
UACGGUCGCAUCACGUUGAAACACCUGUUCCUGUAAGAUUCCAGAAGUUAAUCAACGUCAGCCUAGGUCAGUACCUAUAUGGGUGACCGUUUGGGAAUACCAGGUGAUGUAA